Metopolophium dirhodum (rose-grain aphid) is the source of this 66-nucleotide small nucleolar RNA. NCBI's taxonomy places the organism in Eukaryota, Metazoa, Arthropoda, Insecta, Hemiptera, Aphididae. The record is from RefSeq and is a predicted model, not a curated record.
AAAUGCACUGAUGACAUUAUACCGCCCCAGACUGAAUAUCAUGUUGAAGGUUUGGUCUGAGCAUUU